UACGUAGGGUCCGAGCGUUGUCCGGAAUUAUUGGGCGUAAAGGGCUCGUAGGCGGUCUGUCGCGUCGGGAGUGAAAACUUACAGCUUAACUGUGAGCGUGCUUCCGAUACGGGCAGACUUGAGGUAUUCAGGGGAGAACGGAAUUCCUGGUGUAGCGGUGAAAUGCGCAGAUAUCAGGAGGAACACCGGUGGCGAAGGCGGUUCUCUGGGAAUAUCCUGACGCUGAGGAGCGAAAGUGUGGGGAGCAAACAGG
RNAcentral lists this ribosomal RNA (253 nucleotides) under uncultured bacterium. RNAcentral describes it as "partial 16S ribosomal RNA". It matches the Rfam family "Bacterial small subunit ribosomal RNA", at positions 524 to 776 of the family's 1533-position model. The record is from RNAcentral.